GUGAGUCAUCGAAUCUUUGAACGCACAUUGCGCCCUCUGGCAUUCCGGAGGGCAUGCCUGUCCGAGCGUCAUUUCUGCCCUCCAGCGCGGCUGGGUGUUGGGCGCUGUCCCCCCGGGGACACGCCCCAAAGGCAGUGGCGACGCCGCGUCGAGUCCUCGAGCGUAUGGAGCUUUGUCACCUGCUCGGGAGGGAUUCGCCGGCCUCGGUCUUCCCCGAUGGGCCCCGUACAGGGCCGAUCUUUCCGGUUGACCUCGGAUCAGGUAGGGCUACCCGCUGAACUUAAGCAUAUCAAUAAGCGG
This 300-nucleotide unclassified non-coding RNA is filed under the name uncultured Talaromyces. RNAcentral describes it as "sequence contains 5.8S rRNA gene, ITS2". The stretch from base 1 to 71 matches the Rfam family "5.8S ribosomal RNA", at positions 84 to 154 of the family's 154-position model. The record is from RNAcentral. Lineage: Eukaryota; Fungi; Ascomycota; Eurotiomycetes; Eurotiales; Trichocomaceae.